GACGAACGCUGGCGGCGUGCUUAACACAUGCAAGUCGAACGGAAAGGCCCUGCUUUUGUGGGGUGCUCGAGUGGCGAACGGGUGAGUAACACGUGAGUAACCUGCCCUAGACUUUGGGAUAACUUCAGGAAACUGGGGCUAAUACCGGAUAGGAGCUCCUGCUGCAUGGUGGGGGUUGGAAAGUUUCGGCGGUUGGGGAUGGACUCGCGGCUUAUCAGCUUGUUGGUGGGGUAGUGGCUUACCAAGGCUUUGACGGGUAGCCGGCCUGAGAGGGUGACCGGCCACAUUGGGACUGAGAUACGGCCCAGACUCCUACGGGAGGCAGCAGUGGGGAAUAUUGCACAAUGGGAGGAAGCCUGAUGCAGCAACGCCGCGUGCGGGAUGACGGCCUUCGGGUUGUAAACCGCUUUCGCCUGUGACGAAGCGUGAGUGACGGUAAUGGGUAAAGAAGCACCGGCUAACUACGUG
RNAcentral lists this ribosomal RNA (468 nucleotides) under uncultured bacterium. Its description in RNAcentral is "partial 16S ribosomal RNA". It matches the Rfam family "Bacterial small subunit ribosomal RNA", at positions 28 to 507 of the family's 1533-position model. The record is from RNAcentral.